This is a long non-coding RNA of Fundulus heteroclitus (mummichog), 859 nucleotides long. RefSeq lists it as uncharacterized. NCBI's taxonomy places the organism in Eukaryota, Metazoa, Chordata, Actinopteri, Cyprinodontiformes, Fundulidae. The transcript is spliced from 3 exons. The record is from RefSeq and is a predicted model, not a curated record.
CCAUCGGUCCUCCGUGGAGAGAGGAGAGGCGGAGGAGAGGGAGGCAGAGCGAGGAGACGGCUGGAGAUGAAACCAUGAGACUCGGGACCAGCCAUUCCAGCCACGCUCAGUGUCAGGUCCUCCGUUAUGCAACCCCUGUUCUGGUGGAACCUGCCGUGUUGCUGAUCCUUGGCUAACCUGCCAGGCUGGAGGUUACCUCCCGGGUUCUCCCCUGGAUCUCUGUGAUGAUUCCUGGAUCUACCAUGACCUUUCAGACAGUUUCCUCCAUGACUGGCAACUACAAGCUCUCCAUUAACUAAAGGAUGAUUUCAAUACAAAGCAACUGUUGAAGCUUAUUGAUUCCUUUGUUCGAAGUAUAUUUCCUUUAUAUUUCAAUAAACCUGUUAAACUUUGACCAGUGUCUCCUGAGAGUUCUCUUACAUGUGGGUCAGCAGUGGGACAUCUUGAGGAGACCAGAAUUGACGGUUUCAGUACUUGAAGCCAUUCAGACCCUGAAUCUGUAAAGCAGCUUCUUACAUCACACUGCCCUAACAUGUUUGAUUGUCAGUAUGAUCUUCCUUUAAUUGAAAUGUUUAAUGAGUUUUAAACCAGAUGUUACGGAAAACACACAUACAAAAAUAUUCUACUUUUGUCUUAUCUGUUCACAGAAUAUUCUCCCUCAAAAGUUGUGGAAUGUCAAAUUGUUUUGUUUUUUUUGGCAAAUGUGAGACAGACUCUGGUCUCCUGUUUUCUCAGCAGUGGAUUUGGCUUUGCAAAUCUCCCACGGAUGCCAAAAUGGUCCUAUUCAUUCUUAUUAAUAUAAGAAAGAGUAAUAUCAAUGAGAAAUUUAUAUAAUUAAGAGUUAUUGAUAUUUGACAAU